UCCCUUGAAACAGAACCUGUAAGACUGGUCAUCUUGUUCUGCACGUGUGCUAAAGAGCCAGCUACAGAUGGGGCUUCAGACGUCACUCUCACUGUGUCAGCAGCAGCAGCCCCGCCUCAGCCAUCUGUUCUGUUCGUGUUGAGACCCCACUGGCUCCAGGAAGUUCUGCCUGAUGGAGGAGACCCAGGACAGAAGUUGGGGACAGACGGGUGGCAGGCCCCAGGAAGAAUCUAACCUGUCAACCUGUCAAAACUAGUGUGGGUUUGUUUCUUUGUUUUACUCUUUAUACCAUCCUAUUUCACCCAGACCUGGCUGGUGUAUUUAGGAAGAGAAAAAGCCUUGGGAUCUUACUAAUGUCCUGGUCAAAUUGAGGGCGGGUACUGGGUGUAUGAAAAUAGUCUUCCAGGGCCAUGUGGCUCAGUGAUAGAUAGCAUGUGCUUAGCACGCAUCUAGCUAUGGGUUCGGAGAUUGGCACCCCACAAAUGCUGCUGUCACUCUGAUGUGUGUAAACAGCCGGCUGUUGUUCACCAUAUCUGUAAAUUAGUUAAUUAGAAAGCGGGAUAACAUCAGAACUCAGUGCUUGGCAGAUUAAAUAUGUGGUUUAUAGUGAGUGGUUCCUCCCCCAACCCCCACCCCCUUUAAAGUUGCCUACAAAGAAGGGUGUUUGAAUCUAGUAUUCGCUGGGAAGAAUGCAUUCAAGAGGACAAACACACUGACAAAUGGAAUUAGUAAGAAAAGGUCACUAUUGGGCCAUAUAUUAUUGUUCGGUUGUUGCGUACGUAACAAGUCAUCACAAAUUUCUCAGCCUAAGAGUGCCCGUGUGUCAUUGACUAUCAGGCAUGGUAGGUUCAGAGGCUCAAGGCUAUGACUAAGGGCUGGAAGGGUGCAUUCCUCACAGCGACUCUGGGAAGGAGUGACUUUCUCAUAGACUGCAGCUGGGGCUCUAGACCCCUUGGAGGAUGCCCGCAUCCCCUGCUGUAGACCUUGCCAUGAUCUUCAACCAACAGAGACCCUUUGAAUCUUCGUCUUUCUUCAAAAUCUCUGCCUUCCUCCUGCUUUAAGGGUCAAUGUAACUAUACCAAACCCCAGAGAUAAAUCUCUACUUGCAGUCCCAUGGCCCCAGAGGAGUUAGAGACAUUGGCAGGUUCUGGGGAUUAGCAUAGGGAGAGGAAGGGCAUCCACCUACCACCUACUGCCACUGUGGACAGGGUUUAACCUGUACCAGACAGGCGCUCAUAUUCAGUAGUGUCAGCCUUGCUGUUUAUACCCAAGUGAACUACAGAAAUGGCUUUUCUUCCUAACCAGGAUCAUUCUGUAUUUUGAAGUUAUUUUUUUAAUAAAAUUGAAUUAUGUUGUGUAAUGUGCUUAAUAGAAAAUGCUUUAUUGGAUGAUUUUGUAACAUCCUGUUUACUGCAAGUGGCAUAGUUGAUAUUGUUCAAAAAUGUAGAAAAUACUUUUGUACAUACUAGCAGUGUCUAAUUUGUAUAUACUUCUAUUAAAUUUCUCUACAACUUGAAAAGGCUCUUGUAAAAAUGAAAAUACAUGCAAAAUUUGAGUCUGCCUGCUUGGUCUUUCUUUGCUCAGACUCCAGUCGGUUUCUAAUACAGCAAGUAAAGAGACUUGUCCAUUGGCAGGUUACUGGGGUGCAGGAGUGACCUGGGAGAGCCUGUCAGAAACAUACCCUCUGGUGGGAUGCAACUCCAGGUCUCCUGCUGUCCUCAGCUGAGGAAAGUAAGCAAUUCCAGCCUCUAAUGCUCUGCCUAGGAGCAAGUCCUCUGACUGCUGGGGCACCCAUCAGACAGACAGGAGUGACAUUUGAACACAGAUGA
This 1829-nucleotide long non-coding RNA is filed under the name Rattus norvegicus (Norway rat). RNAcentral's name for it is "long non-coding RNA NONRATT028197". The record is from RNAcentral. Lineage: Eukaryota; Metazoa; Chordata; Mammalia; Rodentia; Muridae.